CCAAUAGCGUAUAUUAAAGUUGUUGCAGUUAAAAAGCUCGUAGUUGAAUUUCGGAAUCAGUACGCUGGUCGUGCCUUCGGUAUGUACUGGUGUCACUGAUUCCUCCCUUCUGACGAACCGUCAUGCUAUUAAUUUAGUGUGGCGGGAAAUCAGGACUGUUACUUUGAAAAAAUUAGAGUGUUUAAAGCAGGCUCACGCUUGAAUACAUUAGCAUGGAAUAAUGAAAUAGGACGUUGAUCUUAUUUUGUUGGUUUCUAGGAUUGACGUAAUGAUUAAUAGGGAUAGUUGGGGGCAUUAGUAUUCAAUUGUCAGAGGUGAAAUUCUUGGAUUUAUUGAAGACUAACUGCUGCGAAAGCAUUUGCCAAGGAUGUUUUCAUUAAUCAAGAACGAAAGUUAGGGGAUCGAAGACGAUCAGAUACCGUCGUAGUCUUAACCAUAAACUAUGCCGACUAGGGAUCGGAUGAUGUUAAUUUUUUAAUGACUCAUUCGGCGCCUUACG
Molecule: ribosomal RNA, 499 nt
Filed under: uncultured Glomeromycotina
Lineage: Eukaryota; Fungi; Glomeromycota
Description: partial small subunit ribosomal RNA
Rfam family: Eukaryotic small subunit ribosomal RNA
Source: RNAcentral